AUAAUACACACACACUAACAGCAGAUCGUCUCUCAGUGAGAAGCAGUUCAUUCUUUAAGGUAUUCUUAAUCUCACAGUGUUUCAACACAGAGCAGUGAUGAAGCUGGUAUUAUUGCUUGUGUUGACAAUUGUUAUGCACGAAUCCUCAGCCUGGCUAUUUCAUAGACGACCAAAAGUUCCACGCCUCCCUAUAUCACGCAAUCCUAUCAGAAUACAUUUGUUAAAAGCUAUAGGUAGAGAUGUCGCCAGAGACGUAUACAACAACGAGGCUGAGUUUUUAGCUGACUCGACGUUCUGAGAACAGCUCGCUUAACGUCGCGCGGACCUCUUUAAUAAACAUGAUAUCCGUCUGCUUGGCGUAUUAGUACAAAACGACACACCAGACGAAGACCACGACUGUGACAGAUUUAAAAUAAACCUCGUUAAGCCUC
Gigantopelta aegis is the source of this 431-nucleotide long non-coding RNA. RefSeq lists it as uncharacterized. NCBI's taxonomy places the organism in Eukaryota, Metazoa, Mollusca, Gastropoda, Neomphalida, Peltospiridae. The record is from RefSeq and is a predicted model, not a curated record. The transcript has 4 exons.